RNAcentral lists this ribosomal RNA (216 nucleotides) under Staphylococcus capitis. RNAcentral's name for it is "partial 23S ribosomal RNA". It matches the Rfam family "Bacterial large subunit ribosomal RNA", at positions 1553 to 1768 of the family's 2925-position model. Lineage: Bacteria; Bacillati; Bacillota; Bacilli; Caryophanales; Staphylococcaceae. The record is from RNAcentral.
AGGCUGAGCUGUGAUGGGGAGAGGAAAUUGUUUCCUCGAGUCGUUGAUUUCACACUGCCGAGAAAAGCCUCUAGAUAGAUAACAGGUGCCCGUACCGCACACCGACACAGGUAGUCAAGAUGAGAAUUCUAAGGUGAGCGAGCGAACUCUCGUUAAGGAACUCGGCAAAAUGACCCCGUAACUUCGGGCGAAGGGGUGCUCUUUAGGGUUCACGCC